This 446-nucleotide ribosomal RNA is filed under the name uncultured bacterium. Its description in RNAcentral is "partial 16S ribosomal RNA". It matches the Rfam family "Bacterial small subunit ribosomal RNA", at positions 338 to 795 of the family's 1533-position model. The record is from RNAcentral.
CCUACGGGCGGCAGCAGUCGAGAAUCAUUCACAAUGGGGGAAACCCUGAUGGUGCGACGCCGCGUGGGGGAAUGAAGGUCUUCGGAUUGUAAACCCCUGUCAUGUGGGAGCAAAUUAAAAAGAUAGUACCACAAGAGGAAGAGACGGCUAACUCUGUGCCAGCAGCCGCGGUAAUACAGAGGUCUCAAGCGUUGUUCGGAAUCACUGGGCGUAAAGCGUGCGUAGGCUGUUUCGUAAGUCGUGUGUGAAAGGCGCGGGCUCAACCCGCGGACGGCACAUGAUACUGCGAGACUAGAGUAAUGGAGGGGGAACCGGAAUGCUCGGUGUAGCAGUGAAAUGCGGAGAUAUCGAGAGGAACACUCGUGGCGAAGGCGGGUUCCUGGACAUUAACUGACGCGGAGGCACGAAGGCCAGGGGAGCGAAAGGGAUUAGAUACCCGAGUAGUC